ACUCCUACGGGAGGCAGCAGUGGGGAAUAUUGCACAAUGGGCGCAAGCCUGAUGCAGCCAUGCCGCGUGUGUGAAGAAGGCCUUGGGUUGUAAAGCACUUUCAGUCGUGAGGAAGGUAGUGUAGUUAAUAGCUGCAGUAUUUGACGUUAGCGACAGAAGAAGCACCGGCUAACUCCGUGCCAGCAGCCGCGGUAAUACGGAGGGUGCGAGCGUUAAUCGGAAUUACGUGGGCGUAAAGCGCAUGCAGGUGGUUUGUUAAGUCAGAUGUGAAAGCCCGGGGCUCAACCUCGGAAUAGCAUUUGAAACUGGCAGACUAGAGUACUGUAGAGGGGGUAGAAUUUCAGGUGUAGCGGUGAAAUGCGUAGAGAUCUGAAGGAAUACCGGUGGCGAAGGCGGCCCCUGGACAGAUACUGACACUCAGAUGCGAAAGGCGUGGGAGCAAACAGGAUUAGAUACCCCUGGUAGACUGUC
RNAcentral lists this ribosomal RNA (471 nucleotides) under uncultured bacterium. RNAcentral describes it as "bacterial SSU rRNA". It matches the Rfam family "Bacterial small subunit ribosomal RNA", at positions 335 to 800 of the family's 1533-position model. The record is from RNAcentral.